This 253-nucleotide ribosomal RNA is filed under the name uncultured bacterium. Its description in RNAcentral is "partial 16S ribosomal RNA". It matches the Rfam family "Bacterial small subunit ribosomal RNA", at positions 524 to 776 of the family's 1533-position model. The record is from RNAcentral.
UACAGAGGGUGCGAGCGUUAAUCGGAAUUACUGGGCAUAAAGCGUGCGUAGACGGUUAUCUAAGUCGAAUGUGAAAGCCCCGGGCUCAACCUGGGAAUUGCAUUCGAGACUGAAUAGCUAGGGUACGGUAGAGGGAAGUGGAAUUUCCGGUGUAGCGGUGAAAUGCGUAGAUAUCGGAAGGAACAUCAGUGGCGAAAGCGACUUCCUGGACCAGUACCGACGUUCAGGCACGAAAGCGUGGGGAGCAAACAGG